This 88-nucleotide transfer RNA is filed under the name Candidatus Nealsoniibacteriota bacterium. RNAcentral describes it as "tRNA-Ser". It matches the Rfam family "tRNA". From Rfam's summary of the family: Transfer RNA (tRNA) molecules are approximately 80 nucleotides in length. Their secondary structure includes four short double-helical elements and three loops (D, anti-codon, and T loops). Further hydrogen bonds mediate the characteristic L-shaped molecular structure. tRNAs have two regions of fundamental functional importance: the anti-codon, which is responsible for specific mRNA codon recognition, and the 3' end, to which the tRNAs corresponding amino acid is attached (by aminoacyl-tRNA synthetases). tRNAs cope with the degeneracy of the genetic code in two manners: having more than one tRNA (with a specific anti-codon) for a particular amino acid; and 'wobble' base-pairing, i.e. permitting non-standard base-pairing at the 3rd anti-codon position. RNAcentral also lists the same sequence under 1 other name. Lineage: Bacteria; Candidatus Nealsoniibacteriota. The record is from RNAcentral.
GGUGGGGUGUCUGAGUGGUUUAAAGAGAUGGUUUCGAAAACCAUUGUAGUCGUGAAGGCUACCGUGAGUUCAAAUCUCACCCCCACCG